This 464-nucleotide ribosomal RNA is filed under the name uncultured bacterium. RNAcentral describes it as "partial 16S ribosomal RNA". It matches the Rfam family "Bacterial small subunit ribosomal RNA", at positions 355 to 813 of the family's 1533-position model. The record is from RNAcentral.
UGGGGAAUUUUGACAAUGGGGGAACCCUGAUCCAGCCAUCCCGCGUGUGCGAUGAAGGCCUUCGGGUUGUAAAGCACUUUUGGCAGGAAAGAAACGUCGCGGGUUAAUACCCCGCGAAACUGACGGUACCUGCAGAAUAAGCACCGGCUAACUACGUGCCAGCAGCCGCGGUAAUACGUAGGGUGCAAGCGUUAAUCGGAAUUACUGGGCGUAAAGCGUGCGCAGGCGGUUCGGAAAGAAAGAUGUGAAAUCCCAGAGCUUAACUUUGGAACUGCAUUUUAACUACCGGGCUAGAGUGUGUCAGAGGGAGGUGGAAUUCCGCGUGUAGCAGUGAAAUGCGUAGAUAUGCGGAGGAACACCGAUGGCGAAGGCAGCCUCCUGGGAUAACACUGACGCUCAUGCACGAAAGCGUGGGGGAGCAAACAGGAUUAGAUACCCUGGUAGUCCACGCCCUAAACGAUGUC